UUAUGGCUCAGGAUGAACGCUGGCGGCGUGCCUAACACAUGCAAGUCGAACGGAGUAAUUAAGCGGAAGUUUCGGAUGGAAGCAUAGUUACUUAGUGGCGGACGGGUGAGUAACGCGUGGGCAACCUGCCCUGUACCGGGGGAUAACACUUAGAAAUAGGUGCUAAUACCGCAUAAGCGCACAGCUUCGCAUGAAGGUGUGUGAAAAACUCCGGUGGUACAGGAUGGGCCCGCGUCUGAUUAGCUAGUUGGUGGGGUAGAGGCCUACCAAGGCGACGAUCAGUAGCCGGCCUGAGAGGGUGACCGGCCACAUUGGGACUGAGACACGGCCCAAACUCCUACGGGAGGCAGCAGUGGGGAAUAUUGCACAAUGGGGGAAACCCUGAUGCCAGCGACGCCGCGUGAGUGAAGAAGUAUUUCGGUAUGUAAAGCUCUAUCAGCAGGGAAGAAAAUGACGGUACCUGACUAAGAAGCCCCGGCUAACUACGUGCCAGCCGCCGC
RNAcentral lists this ribosomal RNA (500 nucleotides) under uncultured bacterium. Its description in RNAcentral is "bacterial SSU rRNA". It matches the Rfam family "Bacterial small subunit ribosomal RNA", at positions 17 to 518 of the family's 1533-position model. The record is from RNAcentral.